GAUAUAGUAAAAAUGUGGAGCCGAUUC
Molecule: small RNA, 27 nt
Filed under: Bombyx mori (domestic silkworm)
Lineage: Eukaryota; Metazoa; Arthropoda; Insecta; Lepidoptera; Bombycidae
Description: piRNA piR-bmo-1746392
Source: RNAcentral